Molecule: ribosomal RNA, 271 nt
Filed under: uncultured soil bacterium
Lineage: Bacteria
Description: partial 16S ribosomal RNA
Rfam family: Bacterial small subunit ribosomal RNA
Source: RNAcentral
AGAAUCAACGCUGGCGGCGUGCCUAACACAUGCAAGUCGAACGCGAAAGUGGAGCAAUCCAUUAGUAGAGUGGCAAACGGGUGAGUAACACGUGGGCGACCUACCUCAGAGUGGGGGAUAACCUUCCGAAAGGAGGGCUAAUACCGCAUGACAUCCCGUGUUUGGAUGCACGGAGAUCAAAGCCGGGGAUCGCAAGACCUGGCGUCUUGGAGAGGGCCCGCGUCCGAUUAGCUAGUUGGUGAGGUACGGCUCACCAAGGCUCCGAUCGGUA